CAGAAAAGCACACUCAGUUUGGUGUUAACAAAAUACUUUUUUUUUUCAUGCCAGCCGUUACCGUUUUAGUUGUGUGGUUUUGCGCAUAUUGAAUGUUUCAGUUUUAGUUACCAAUUUGAAAGAGUAAGAUCGAGACAACGUUUUUCGUGCAGUUUGGUUUUUAAAUAUUUUAUAUAACUUGCUUAAGUGAAAAAAAGGAUAAACUUUGCCAUAAAUUAUUUGGAUAAAUUUUAAAACGCAAAAUGUCCACAAAAACGUGAAAGAUCAGUGAUUCUACAGCAUUGUUGGUGUAGUGUGUGUGGAAAUGAAAAAAAGUAUGUUUGUCAUGUCGCUUGUUUAGUCUAUUUGGACCUUAAUAAUUUCCCAGAUUUUCGAAAAUUCAUAUGAAUGUCAAAUUUUAAUUUUGUUCGAUUUUUUUUAUUUAACAUUAAAAAUGUUGUUGUUUUUGGUUAAGAUGACCAUAUCUGUUUGUAGUGUAACAAACCUGAGACUCUGGUGGGAAUUGAACCCACAACCGCUGACUGACAGUGUAGCACACUGCCAUGUACUUCACCGGGGUACAAAACAUUACAAAAGUAAUACUACUUUACGAUUAUAAUCGAAUUGUUAAUCUUUAAGUAAUUUUUUAAGAAGACUUUGUAUGAUAGGUAAGGUCAAAUGAAGUUAGAUCCUUACGAAAAUUAGCAGUUUAAUCUUUACUUACAUAUCACAAAGCCUUGCUGAAAGAUACUAAAAUAUUUGACAUAAAUAUGGACUUAAAAGAACUAUGUUGGGGGUACGCACGUUUGUGCCAAAUUUAAAAAAAAAAAUCUUAA
Molecule: long non-coding RNA, 815 nt
Organism: Lucilia cuprina (Australian sheep blowfly)
Lineage: Eukaryota; Metazoa; Arthropoda; Insecta; Diptera; Calliphoridae
Exons: 3
Source: RefSeq, a predicted model, not a curated record